UCCCUCUUUCCCUUCUUCCAAACCGCUUCCACUUCGAUCUCUUCCCGAUUGUUCUAAUUUUUAACCUGAUUUCUUCUACUUCAUCUACCGUCAUUUCUCACUCUUCUCUCAAACGAUCAUCAGGUGCUCAGAAAUCACAGAAGGUUCCUAUCGAUCUCCUCACAUCGGUUAUCACCUUUACCCUCCUUCUCUACAUGCUCCGUUGAUCAGUUCGUCAGUGUCUACACACCUUCUCUCAGGAGGAGGCGAUGGAAACUAGUGUAUAGGCGGAUAUCUCUACUUCUCUUUGUUGAUGAUUCUCACGAAAUCAGUUCCCUCUUCACGUUCAAUGUUCUUCCUUCUAACUUCAGAUUGCCGAUGCUUCAUGAAUGAUAUUCUUUUGCUACUAUCGAUGGUGUCCAAGACAGGCCUAAGAGGUUGGCAAAAAAAAACCCCUAUUUAUGGGUUUGGGUCUUUUUUGGUUCUUCCUUCACCGAUAUCCGUAUGUUCCCGCCGUUCAUUACUGAUUUGGGCGUGAUGAAGCCUACAACAACUGAUGUCGGCUGCUUUUUGGUUGGCGUGUCUUCGCUUUUUGGGUUUACUUUCAUAUAUGUUGUUUCUGCAAUUGGAUAUUGUUUAUGCAAUUGGAUAUUGUUUAUGCAAUUGGAGAAUGCGAGCACGAAAAAGAACACUAAGUGGUUGGUAGUUAAGUUACGACCGAGGAGGAUUUCAUCAUCACCACUCACCACCUGAUGCACUGCAUCACCCUUGAUGUUGUAAUGAGAUUUGAAGGAGAAUUUGACUAUGCACCCCAACUGGUCGAUGAAAUGCUUGAACUAGGUGGGAAGUGUGUCUUGGCCUCAGAACUACAAUGAUUCAAAUAUCAACAAGCUUGGUAAGCAUCUUCCUUACUAAAAUAUUGCUUAACUCGAUUGAGAUCCAAUUAUUUGUAGUUGUGUUGGUGUUUGAUGUCUCUAUUGUUUUUGUGUUUGAUACCUGUAUUGCAACAUCUUACUUUCAUUUUAUUUCAUCUCUAAGCAUUGGACACUGGUAUACUUGGAUCCAAUUAGACCAACCACAACCAAAAUGUUCAAACCUUUGAUUAUUAUUUUAUAAAGGUACAUGUUUUUUGCUGAUUUUUUUCCCAGUUUUAACUGUUAUAGUAUAUUUAUUUCAUAAGAGUUCAAAUUAGGCCUCGUCACCUAUUCUAUUACUGCAUUAUUUAUGAAUUGGAUUUCUUACUACAACCGGUAAAAACAAAAAUGGCAUUUGUUUCAUUUUGCAAGGAAUAUGAUUAGACUUUUUCCCAUACCUUAAAUCACAAUGCUUGAAAUCUGAAAAUAUGAUGUCAUUGUGGAUGCUUGAUGGCUAUGGGUCAAGCUCUAUGGAUUUCAAAUCAAGUGAAGGCUUCCAACCCCGUGGUGGCAGCUGCCUAUGCUUCAAAUAUUGAAAAAAUUGGGUCUGAAUCUGGGCUGGAUCAUUUGUGAGAGGCUUAUCAGAAGAUGAAGAUGGUGAUGGUAACAUUCCUUCAUAGUCUUUACAAAUAUAUCCAAAAUUAAUGAUGAUUUUGUUUAGGUUCUUUCUAAUGAAACUUAUGAGCACAUAAGUUUUGCAUCUUUACCUGUAUGUCGCAACAAACAGUAACAGUUAAUGGGUUUUCUAAGUUAUACAUACAUAUGACAUAUAUACCUCUUGCAUUCACAGACUGGAUGAAAACUUGGAUAUAUGGUUGCUAUUGAACAUUUUAUUGCUGCCAUUGCAAAAAUUCAAAGUCAGGUACGUACAUAAUCUGAUUGUAAUUAAUUCGAAUUUUUCCAUUUCAGAGGAAGUGACCUUAGGAUUUUGUUUAUUCUUCUCCCUUUUUUUAGAAAAUACGAAUGUUUCA
Long non-coding RNA from Lactuca sativa (garden lettuce), 1864 nucleotides. RefSeq lists it as uncharacterized. The record is from RefSeq and is a predicted model, not a curated record. NCBI's taxonomy places the organism in Eukaryota, Viridiplantae, Streptophyta, Magnoliopsida, Asterales, Asteraceae.